UUCGCAAUGCCCGAAAGGGUGACGAAGCGACGCCGCGUGUGGGAAGAAGGCCUUCGGGUUGUAAACCACUGUCGGGAGUUAAGAAAUGCAAGGAUAUGAAUAGUGUCUUUGCUUGACUAAGGCUCCGGAGGAAGCCACGGCUAACUCUGUGCCAGCAGCCGCGGUAAUACAGAGGCGGCAAGCGUUGUUCGGAAUUAUUGGGCGUAAAGAGCACGUAGGCGGCUAUGUAAGUCGGUUGUGAAAGCCUUCCGCUCAACGGGAGAACAGCAUCCGAUACUACAUGGCUUGAGUGCGGGAGGGGAGAGUGGAACUUCUGGUGGAGCGGUGAAAUGCGUAGAUAUCAGAAGGAACGCCGGCGGCGAAAGCGGCUCUCUGGCCCAUAACUGACGCUGAGUGUGCGAAAGCUAGGGGAGCAAACGGGAUUAGAUACCCCGGCAGUCCUAGCCGUAAACGAUGGGCACUAAGUAGAGGGGUUUU
This 477-nucleotide ribosomal RNA is filed under the name uncultured bacterium. Its description in RNAcentral is "bacterial SSU rRNA". It matches the Rfam family "Bacterial small subunit ribosomal RNA", at positions 365 to 832 of the family's 1533-position model. The record is from RNAcentral.